This 2781-nucleotide ribosomal RNA is filed under the name Salmonella enterica subsp. enterica serovar Enteritidis. RNAcentral's name for it is "partial 23S ribosomal RNA". It matches the Rfam family "Bacterial large subunit ribosomal RNA". The record is from RNAcentral. Lineage: Bacteria; Pseudomonadati; Pseudomonadota; Gammaproteobacteria; Enterobacterales; Enterobacteriaceae.
UCGUCACACUAUCAUUAACUGAAUCCAUAGGUUAAUGAGGCGAACCGGGGGAACUGAAACAUCUAAGUACCCCGAGGAAAAGAAAUCAACCGAGAUUCCCCCAGUAGCGGCGAGCGAACGGGGAGGAGCCCAGAGCCUGAAUCAGCAUGUGUGUUAGUGGAAGCGUCUGGAAAGGCGCGCGAUACAGGGUGACAGCCCCGUACACAAAAGCGCAUGUGCUGUGAGCUCGAUGAGUAGGGCGGGACACGUGGUAUCCUGUCUGAAUAUGGGGGGACCAUCCUCCAAGGCUAAAUACUCCUGACUGACCGAUAGUGAACCAGUACCGUGAGGGAAAGGCGAAAAGAACCCCGGCGAGGGGAGUGAAAAAGAACCUGAAACCGUGUACGUACAAGCAGUGGGAGCACAGGUUUACCUGUGUGACUGCGUACCUUUUGUAUAAUGGGUCAGCGACUUAUAUUCUGUAGCAAGGUUAACCGAAUAGGGGAGCCGGAGGGAAACCGAGUCUUAAUUGGGCGUUAAGUUGCAGGGUAUAGACCCGAAACCCGGUGAUCUAGCCAUGGGCAGGUUGAAGGUUGGGUAACACUAACUGGAGGACCGAACCGACUAAUGUUGAAAAAUUAGCGGAUGACCUGUGGCUGGGGGUGAAAGGCCAAUCAAACCGGGAGAUAGCUGGUUCUCCCCGAAAGCUAUUUAGGUAGCGCCUCGUGAAUUCAUCUCCGGGGGUAGAGCACUGUUUCGGCUAGGGGGCCAUCCCGGCUUACCAACCCGAUGCAAACUGCGAAUACCGGAGAAUGUUAUCACGGGAGACACACGGCGGGUGCUAACGUCCGUCGUGAAGAGGGAAACAACCCAGACCGCCAGCUAAGGUCCCAAAGUCAUGGUUAAGUGGGAAACGAUGUGGGAAGGCCCAGACAGCCAGGAUGUUGGCUUAGAAGCAGCCAUCAUUUAAAGAAAGCGUAAUAGCUCACUGGUCGAGUCGGCCUGCGCGGAAGAUGUAACGGGGCUAAACCAUGCACCGAAGCUGCGGCAGCGACACUGUGUGUUGUUGGGUAGGGGAGCGUUCUGUAAGCCUGCGAAGGUGGCCUGUGAGGGUUGCUGGAGGUAUCAGAAGUGCGAAUGCUGACAUAAGUAACGAUAAAGCGGGUGAAAAGCCCGCUCGCCGGAAGACCAAGGGUUCCUGUCCAACGUUAAUCGGGGCAGGGUGAGUCGACCCCUAAGGCGAGGCCGAAAGGCGUAGUCGAUGGGAAACGGGUUAAUAUUCCCGUACUUGGUGUUACUGCGAAGGGGGGACGGAGAAGGCUAUGUUGGCCGGGCGACGGUUGUCCCGGUUUAAGCGUGUAGGUGUGUGUUCCAGGUAAAUCCGGUUCACUUUAACACUGAGGCGUGACGACGAGGCACUACGGUGCUGAAGCAACAAAUGCCCUGCUUCCAGGAAAAGCCUCUAAGCAUCAGGUAACAUCAAAUCGUACCCCAAACCGACACAGGUGGUCAGGUAGAGAAUACCAAGGCGCUUGAGAGAACUCGGGUGAAGGAACUAGGCAAAAUGGUGCCGUAACUUCGGGAGAAGGCACGCUGACACGUAGGUGAAGUGAUUUACUCAUGGAGCUGAAGUCAGUCGAAGAUACCAGCUGGCUGCAACUGUUUAUUAAAAACACAGCACUGUGCAAACACGAAAGUGGACGUAUACGGUGUGACGCCUGCCCGGUGCCGGAAGGUUAAUUGAUGGGGUCAGCGCAAGCGAAGCUCCUGAUCGAAGCCCCGGUAAACGGCGGCCGUAACUAUAACGGUCCUAAGGUAGCGAAAUUCCUUGUCGGGUAAGUUCCGACCUGCACGAAUGGCGUAAUGAUGGCCAGGCUGUCUCCACCCGAGACUCAGUGAAAUUGAACUCGCUGUGAAGAUGCAGUGUACCCGCGGCAAGACGGAAAGACCCCGUGAACCUUUACUAUAGCUUGACACUGAACAUUGAGCCUUGAUGUGUAGGAUAGGUGGGAGGCUUUGAAGUGUGGACGCCAGUCUGCAUGGAGCCGACCUUGAAAUACCACCCUUUAAUGUUUGAUGUUCUAACGUGGACCCGUUACCCGGGUUGCGGACAGUGUCUGGUGGGUAGUUUGACUGGGGCGGUCUCCUCCUAAAGAGUAACGGAGGAGCACGAAGGUUGGCUAAUCCUGGUCGGACAUCAGGAGGUUAGUGCAAUGGCAUAAGCCAGCUUGACUGCGAGCGUGACGGCGCGAGCAGGUGCGAAAGCAGGUCAUAGUGAUCCGGUGGUUCUGAAUGGAAGGGCCAUCGCUCAACGGAUAAAAGGUACUCCGGGGAUAACAGGCUGAUACCGCCCAAGAGUUCAUAUCGACGGCGGUGUUUGGCACCUCGAUGUCGGCUCAUCACAUCCUGGGGCUGAAGUAGGUCCCAAGGGUAUGGCUGUUCGCCAUUUAAAGUGGUACGCGAGCUGGGUUUAGAACGUCGUGAGACAGUUCGGUCCCUAUCUGCCGUGGGCGCUGGAGAACUGAGGGGGGCUGCUCCUAGUACGAGAGGACCGGAGUGGACGCAUCACUGGUGUUCGGGUUGUCAUGCCAAUGGCACUGCCCGGUAGCUAAAUGCGGAAGAGAUAAGUGCUGAAAGCAUCUAAGCACGAAACUUGCCCCGAGAUGAGUUCUCCCUGAGACUUAGAGUCUCCUGAAGGAACGUUGAAGACGACGACGUUGAUAGGCCGGGUGUGUAAGCGCAGCGAUGCGUUGAGCUAACCGGUACUAAUGAACCGUGAGGCUUAACCUUACAACGCCGAAG